UCAUAGAGCCACCCUGCAGGAGAGAAGGUUGUUAUUAAAGCUAUGGGAUUUUUCUCAGUGAGAAAAACAAAAACAAAAAAAAACCAAACCAAACCAAAAAAAACCCAAAAAACAACAACAACAAAAAAACCAAAACAAAAUAAAACCAACCAAACAAACAAAAAAACAAAAACAUUUGGGGAGGUUAGGCGGGAAGCAAGGGAUGUGUGUUCUCAUCUAAGAAUUGCUCAGAUAUUUUCCUUAAAUUAUUUUAACUCUUCCUGGGCGGCAUUUCCUGUAAGGAAAUGACAUGCAGGUUACUUUUUCCAGAGCCAGUUUUGAUCCUUGUAGUAGACAUGGUGUUUAAUUUGAUUGAAUUUAAUCCCUGAAUUAUUUUUUUUUUUCCUGUUUAAAUAAGUGGGCCAAAAGUGGCUGAUGGAAGAUCCUGUUGGAUUGAUGGGAUAACUUGCAUGUGCUGGUAUUUGCAAACAUCUGGGCUGCAAACCUCCUGUUCUCCAGCUUUGUCUUCUUGUGAGCAGACCUUGUCUAACAGGAGAGACCCCAGGCCAGGAGCUGGAAGUGAACUUGAUAAAAGUAGCUCUGGGAGGACUUAAAAGGAAAAGCUGAAUUCCAUGGAGCCUCAGGAAUCUCUGGAGAAUGCAGGUCACCUUUUAAAGUGACCUCCAAGUGCUGGGUUUGGUCCUGGCAAAUCUCGGGUCUGGGCAGUCCUUUGAAAGGUGGAGAAUUCCUCUCUUUGAAUCAAAAAUCUGCAAAGUGGGAGAUGCUGCUGCACAUAGAAACCCUAAUCCAGUCCCAAAUGUGGUGUGGGAUGGGUGGGUGUGGGGAAGCAGCUGAGCCAGAUCUGCUGCUGGCAUGAAAUGCAAUUCCUCUGGAGAUAUCCAUGGAAUCCAGACAUCCAUGGGCUUCCAUGAUUUACACCACCAGCAGAUCUGGCCCAAAUCUGGGAUUCUUAAACCCAGGAAGGGACAUGGUACAGUCCCUGAGAUCCUGGGCUCGGACUUGUGCAGGGAGAGGGUGCCAGUAAAACUCGGGAUCUGUGCUGGAGGGAGGCACUGACAUUUCCCUGCUGUAGAUUUCCACAGCUGCAGGAAGGUUUUCUAAAGCAGAGCAAAAGCUGCUGUUGCCCAGUUUCAGUUUCUGUUGGCUCAUGGCUGUCUCGGGGGGAGUCCCUGUGUUUGUUCCUCGGGGAUGUCGUGCGGAGCAGCCGGAGCUGCAGCUGGACAGGAGCACCCAUCCCGUGGGGCUGCACUGGGGGACUCUCCCAUGACCCUGAGGCUCUUGAGGAGUGUUUCAUCCCCAGGGAUAGGAUCUGCUUUUGCUGCCUGGAGGUCUCUCAAAAUCUCAAAGGGAUUUGGAGAGGAAAAGGGAUGCUGACGUAGUUACUGGUGGGAGGAGCAGGACAGAGUGCUCCAGUUGAGCUCUGAUUUAUUGCAGUUAUUCUUAAAAUAUCCUUCUGGAUAUUGGUUAAUUUAUUUAUUUAUUUUUAACAUUUUCUUGGUUUUUUUUUUUUUUUUUGUGUGCUGAAUGGGAUUUAGGUGCAGUGGGAUUUACCAGCAUUGCCUCACUGGCAGCACAGCCAUGAACUUCUGUCACACCCCAUCCUUUGGAAGCCACUCCAGUCUCUGUGCCCCCAGUUCUUCUCCAAAAUAAUAAUCACUCCUGCUGCAGAGAGCUGAACUAGGAGCUUGUGGUGUCCAAACCCCAGCAAAGCAGCAGUUUUGUAAGGAAUGCUGGUAAAUCCCAGGCCUCAGUGUAAUCCAAACUAAACAUUCCCAGCACUGCUGGUGCUACCAGCUGGGUCAGGCUGUCUGCUGAUCUUUAAUCAGAAGUUUUAUUAUUUCCUAAUGCCCUGAGGAGCAAAAUUCAGUGGGAAGGUGAAGGUAAAAUGUAGAAAAUGUCUGAAUAUGUGUGCCAGCAGAGCUUUUGGGUGACUCCAUCCUCUUCCCUUUCACCACCCAAAUUUCUUGGGAUUGGAAUUCAUGCUCUGAGGGCUGGAAUCUCUUGUAGAAUUUGCAUUACAUGCUUUGGUUCAGCUCUUCUGCACUUUGAGUCAGUGAUUUGUACUGCUUGUGGAAAUAAACUGUGGCCCUCUCUCCUCAGCUGGCUCGUGGCUGCCAAAAUGUUUGUUCUGGUUUGGGUUGGGUUUUUUCAGCGUGGCAGCAUCCAGAGGUGUUGGUGGAUGGGGAGCUCUGAAGGAGACUCCAGACUUUCCUUUUGGGUCCUGCCAGCUGCCCCUGGAUUUCAGGGCUUUCAGCUGAACAGAUUUGCAGAAACCCCAUCCUGGGAUGGAUCCCUGUAGGAGAGUGAACCAGCAGCAUGUUUUAUCCCUGGAUUUCUGGGGUGCUCCUGGGGCUGGAGCAGGACCCAGACCCUGGCUGAGCACACGCUGCACUCACCAGCACGGGCAGCACCAGAGCCAUGAAACCUCCAGAGAAGAUGGCAAAGGCCACGGUGUAGGCCAGGAGCAGUGGG
Long non-coding RNA from Cinclus cinclus, 2472 nucleotides. RefSeq lists it as uncharacterized. The record is from RefSeq and is a predicted model, not a curated record. Lineage: Eukaryota; Metazoa; Chordata; Aves; Passeriformes; Cinclidae. The transcript is spliced from 3 exons.